UGCAAGUCGAGCGGACAGAUGGGAGCUUGCUCCCUGAUGUUAGCGGCGGACGGGUGAGUAACACGUGGGUAACCUGCCUGUAAGACUGGGAUAACUCCGGGAAACCGGGGCUAAUACCGGAUGCUUGUUUGAACCGCAUGGUUCAAACAUAAAAGGUGGCUUCGGCUACCACUUACAGAUGGACCCGCGGCGCAUUAGCUAGUUGGUGAGGUAACGGCUCACCAAGGCAACGAUGCGUAGCCGACCUGAGAGGGUGAUCGGCCACACUGGGACUGAGACACGGCCCAGACUCCUACGGGAGGCAGCAGUAGGGAAUCUUCCGCAAUGGACGAAAGUCUGACGGAGCAACGCCGCGUGAGUGAUGAAGGUUUUCGGAUCGUAAAGCUCUGUUGUUAGGGAAGAACAAGUACCGUUCGAAUAGGGCGGUACCUUGACGGUACCUAACCAGAAAGCCACGGCUAACUACGUGCCAGCAGCCGCGGUAAUACGUAGGUGGCAAGCGUUGUCCGGAAUUAUUGGGCGUAAAGGGCUCGCAGGCGGUUUCUUAAGUCUGAUGUGAAAGCCCCCGGCUCAACCGGGGAGGGUCAUUGGAAACUGGGGAACUUGAGUGCAGAAGAGGAGAGUGGAAUUCCACGUGUAGCGGUGAAAUGCGUAGAGAUGUGGAGGAACACCAGUGGCGAAGGCGACUCUCUGGUCUGUAACUGACGCUGAGGAGCGAAAGCGUGGGGAGCGAACAGGAUUAGAUACCCUGGUAGUCCACGCCGUAAACGAUGAGUG
Molecule: ribosomal RNA, 777 nt
Filed under: Bacillus sp. Maralbishi12
Lineage: Bacteria; Bacillati; Bacillota; Bacilli; Caryophanales; Bacillaceae
Description: bacterial SSU rRNA
Rfam family: Bacterial small subunit ribosomal RNA
Source: RNAcentral